Molecule: ribosomal RNA, 1837 nt
Filed under: Tainosphaeria cecropiae
Lineage: Eukaryota; Fungi; Ascomycota; Sordariomycetes; Chaetosphaeriales; Chaetosphaeriaceae
Description: partial large subunit ribosomal RNA
Rfam family: Eukaryotic large subunit ribosomal RNA
Source: RNAcentral
UUGACCUCGGAUCAGGUAGGAAUACCCGCUGAACUUAAGCAUAUCAAUAAGCGGAGGAAAAGAAACCAACAGGGAUUGCCUCAGUAACGGCGAGUGAAGCGGCAACAGCUCAAAUUUGAAAUCUGGCCUCGGCCCGAGUUGUAAUUUGCAGAGGAUGCUUCGGGUGCGGUGCCUUCCAAGUCCCCUGGAACGGGGCGCCAGAGAGGGUGAGAGCCCCGUCCGGUCGGCCGCCAAGCCUGUGUGAAGCUCCUUCGACGAGUCGAGUAGUUUGGGAAUGCUGCUCUAAACGGGAGGUAGACCCCUUCUAAAGCUAAAUACCGGCCAGAGACCGAUAGCGCACAAGUAGAGUGAUCGAAAGAUGAAAAGCACUUUGAAAAGAGGGUUAAACAGUACGUGAAAUUGUUGAAAGGGAAGCGCUUGUGACCAGACGUGCGGCGGGUGCUCAGCAGGCGUUCUCGCCUGUGCACUCGCCCGCCGCAGGCCAGCGUCGGUUCGGGAGGGGGGACAAAGGCGCCGGGAACGUAUCUCCCUCGGGAGUGUUAUAGCCCGGCGUGUCAUGCCCCCGCCCGGACCGAGGUUCGCGUUCGCAAGGACGCUGGCGUAAUGGUCCCCAGCGGCCCGUCUUGAAACACGGACCAAGGAGUCGAGGUUUUGCGCGAGUGUUUGGGUGUCAAACCCGCACGCGUAAUGAAAGUGAACGUAGGUGGGAGCUUCGGCGCACCACCGACCGAUCCUGAUGUUUUCGGAUGGAUUUGAGUAGGAGCGUAGGGCCUCGGACCCGAAAGAUGGUGAACUAUACGUGGAUAGGGUGAAGCCAGAGGAAACUCUGGUGGAGGCUCGCAGCGGUUCUGACGUGCAAAUCGAUCGUCAAAUCUGCGUAUGGGGGCGAAAGACUAAUCGAACCAUCUAGUAGCUGGUUACCGCCGAAGUUUCCCUCAGGAUAGCAGUGUUGAUUCUCAGUUUUAUGAGGUAAAGCGAAUGAUUAGGGACUCGGGGGCGCUUUUUAGCCUUCAUCCAUUCUCAAACUUUAAAUAUGUAAGAAGCCCUUGUUGCUUAGUUGAACGUGGGCCUUCGAAUGCAGCAACACUAGUGGGCCAUUUUUGGUAAGCAGAACUGGCGAUGUGGGAUGAACCAUACGGGGGGUUAAGGUGCCGGAGUGGACGCUCAUCAGACACCACAAAAGGCGUUAGCACAUCUUGACAGCAGGACGGUGGCCAUGGAAGUCGGAAUCCGCUAAGGACUGUGUAACAACUCACCUGCCGAAUGUGCUAGCCCUGAAAAUGGAUGGCGCUCAAGCGUCCCACCCAUACCCCCCCCUCAGGGUAGAAACGAUGCCCUGAGGAGUAGGCGGCCGCAGCGCUGUGUGACGAAGGCUAGGGCGUGAGCCCGGCUCGAACCGGCGCUGGUGCAGAUCUUGGUGGUAGUAGCAAAUACUUCAAUGAGAACUUGAAGGACCGAAGUGGAGAAAGGUUCCACAUGAACAGCGGUUGGAUGUGGGUCAGUCGAUCCUAAGCCAUAGGGAAGUUCCGUUUCAAAGGGGCACUUGUGCCCCGUGUGGCGAAAGGGAAGCCGGUCAAUAUCCCGGCACCUGGAUGUGGGUUUUUCGCGGCAACGCAACCGAACGCGGAGACGGCGGCGGGGGCCCCGGGCAGAGUUCUCUUUUCUUCUUAACGGUCUCUCACCCUGGAAACAGUUUGUCUGGAGAUAGGGUUUAAUGGCCGGAAGAGCCCAGCACUUCUGCUGGGUCCGGCGCGCCCCCGACGUCCCUUGAAAAUCCGCGGGAGGGAAUAAUUCUCACGCUAGGUCGUACUCAUAACCGCAGCAGGUCUCCAAGGUG